This 466-nucleotide ribosomal RNA is filed under the name uncultured bacterium. Its description in RNAcentral is "bacterial SSU rRNA". It matches the Rfam family "Bacterial small subunit ribosomal RNA", at positions 30 to 482 of the family's 1533-position model. The record is from RNAcentral.
AUUGAACGCUGGCGGCAUGCCUUACACAUGCAAGUCGAACGGCAGCACGGGAGCUUGCUCCUGGUGGCGAGUGGCGAACGGGUGAGUAAUGCAUCGGAACGUGCCCUGAAGUGGGGGAUAACGUAGCGAAAGUUACGCUAAUACCGCAUAUUCUGUGAGCAGGAAAGCAGGGGAUCUUCGGACCUUGCGCUUUUGGAGCGGCCGAUGUCGGAUUAGCUAGUUGGUGGGGUAAAGGCCCACCAAGGCGACGAUCCGUAGCGGGUCUGAGAGGAUGAUCCGCCACACUGGAACUGAGACACGGUCCAGACUCCUACGGGAGGCAGCAGUGGGGAAUUUUGGACAAUGGGCGCAAGCCUGAUCCAGCCAUGCCGCGUGAGUGAAGAAGGCCUUCGGGUUGUAAAGGCUACUUUCGGCGGGGAAGGAAAGUUAGCUUGGGUUAAUACCCUGAGUAGAUGACGGUACCCGC